CCUUAUGCCACAGGAGCCAAAUGCACAGUUCUCCAGCUAAGCAGGUUAGGGCAGGAUUAGUACUUGGAUGGGAGAUCACCAAGGAAAAAACGCAGGUAAGAGGU
Molecule: ribosomal RNA, 104 nt
Filed under: Chrysemys picta bellii (western painted turtle)
Lineage: Eukaryota; Metazoa; Chordata; Testudines; Emydidae
Source: RNAcentral